GAUGAACGCUGGCGGCGUGCCUAAUACAUGCAAGUCGAGCGAACAGACGAGGAGCUUGCUCCUCUGACGUUAGCGGCGGACGGGUGAGUAACACGUGGAUAACCUACCUAUAAGACUGGGAUAACUUCGGGAAACCGGAGCUAAUACCGGAUAAUAUAUUGAACCGCAUGGUUCAAUAGUGAAAGACGGUUUUGCUGUCACUUAUAGAUGGAUCCGCGCCGCAUUAGCUAGUUGGUAAGGUAACGGCUUACCAAGGCAACGAUGCAUAGCCGACCUGAGAGGGUGAUCGGCCACCCUGGAACUGAGCCACGGUCCAGACUCCUACGGGAGGCAGCAGUAGGGAAUCUUCCGCAAUGGGCGAAAGCUUGACGGAGCAACGCCGCGUGAGUGAUGAAGGUCUUCGGAUCGUAAACCUCUGUUAUUAGGGAAGAACAAAUGUGUAAGUAACUAUGCACGUCUUGACGGUACCUAAUCAGAAAGCCACGGCUAACUACGUG
This 497-nucleotide ribosomal RNA is filed under the name uncultured bacterium. RNAcentral's name for it is "partial 16S ribosomal RNA". It matches the Rfam family "Bacterial small subunit ribosomal RNA", at positions 28 to 507 of the family's 1533-position model. The record is from RNAcentral.